AACGCUAGCUACAGGCUUAACACAUGCAAGUCGAGGGCAUCAGGAAGAAAGCUUGCUUUCUUUGCUGGCGACCGGCGCACGGGUGAGUAACACGUAUCCAACCUGCCCUUUACUCGGGGAUAGCCUUUCGAAAGAAAGAUUAAUACCCGAUAGCAUAAUGAUUCCGCAUGGUUUCAUUAUUAAAGGAUUCCGGUAAAGGAUGGGGAUGCGUUCCAUUAGGUUGUUGGUGAGGUAACGGCUCACCAAGCCUUCGAUGGAUAGGGGUUCUGAGAGGAAGGUCCCCCACAUUGGAACUGAGACACGGUCCAAACUCCUACGGGAGGCAGCAGUGAGGAAUAUUGGUCAAUGGGCGCUAGCCUGAACCAGCCAAGUAGCGUGAAGGAUGAAGGCUCUAUGGGUCGUAAACUUCUUUUAUAUAAGAAUAAAGUGCAGUAUGUAUACUGUUUUGUAUGUAUUAUAUGAAUAAGGAUCGGCUAACUCCGUGCCAGCAGCCGCGGUAAUACGGAGGAUCCGAGCGUUAUCCGGAUUUAUUGGGUUUAAAGGGAGCGUAGGUGGACUGGUAAGUCAGUUGUGAAAGUUUGCGGCUCAACCGUAAAAUUGCAGUUGAUACUGUCAGUCUUGAGUACAGUAGAGGUGGGCGGAAUUCGUGGUGUAGCGGUGAAAUGCUUAGAUAUCACGAAGAACUCCGAUUG
RNAcentral lists this ribosomal RNA (692 nucleotides) under uncultured bacterium. RNAcentral's name for it is "bacterial SSU rRNA". It matches the Rfam family "Bacterial small subunit ribosomal RNA", at positions 32 to 715 of the family's 1533-position model. The record is from RNAcentral.